AUAUGUUUAUCGGGGUGCCGCUUGCGGCUGAGAUUAUACCCAUUGAACCUGUCGGGUUAGGACCUGCGUAGGGAGUUAGCGUGUAAUUUUG
Faecalibacterium sp. CAG:1138 is the source of this 91-nucleotide regulatory RNA element. It matches the Rfam family "TPP riboswitch aptamer (THI element)". From Rfam's summary of the family: Vitamin B(1) in its active form thiamin pyrophosphate (TPP) is an essential coenzyme that is synthesised by coupling of pyrimidine and thiazole moieties in bacteria. The previously detected thiamin-regulatory element, thi box was extended, resulting in a new, highly conserved RNA secondary structure, the THI element, which is widely distributed in eubacteria and also occurs in some archaea. Analysis of operon structures identified a large number of new candidate thiamin-regulated genes, mostly transporters, in various prokaryotic organisms. The record is from Rfam. NCBI's taxonomy places the organism in Bacteria, Bacillati, Bacillota, Clostridia, Eubacteriales, Oscillospiraceae.